Molecule: ribosomal RNA, 391 nt
Filed under: uncultured Pseudomonadota bacterium
Lineage: Bacteria; Pseudomonadati; Pseudomonadota
Description: uncultured proteobacterium partial 16S ribosomal RNA
Source: RNAcentral
CCCGUGGCAUGCUGAUCCACGAUUACUAGCGAUUCCACCUUCAUGCACUCGAGUUGCAGAGUGCAAUCUGAACUGAGACGGCUUUUUGAGAUUAGCUCCAGGUCGCCCUAUCGCUGCCCAUUGUCACCGCCAUUGUAGCACGUGUGUAGCCCAGCCCAUAAGGGCCAUGAGGACUUGACGUCAUCCCCGCCUUCCUCCGGCUUGUCACCGGCGGUUUCUUUAGAGUGCCCAGCAUUACCUGAUGGCAACUAAAGAUGGGGGUUGCGCUCGUUGCGGGACUUAACCCAACAUCUCACGACACGAGCUGACGACAGCCAUGCAGCACCUGUGUGGUAGCCAGCCGAACUGAAGGAACCCGUCUCCGGAACCCAAACUACCCAUGUCAAGGGCU